RNAcentral lists this ribosomal RNA (580 nucleotides) under uncultured bacterium. Its description in RNAcentral is "partial 16S ribosomal RNA". It matches the Rfam family "Bacterial small subunit ribosomal RNA", at positions 355 to 932 of the family's 1533-position model. The record is from RNAcentral.
UGGGGAAUUUUGGACAAUGGGCGAAAGCCUGAUCCAGCAAUGCCGCGUGUGUGAAGAAGGCCUUCGGGUUGUAAAGCACUUUUGUCCGGAAAGAAAUCCUUGGCUCUAAUACAGUCGGGGGAUGACAGUACCGGAAGAAUAAGCACCGGCUAACUACGUGCCAGCAGCCGCGGUAAUACGUAGGGUGCAAGCGUUAAUCGGAAUUACUGGGCGUAAAGCGUGCGCAGGCGGUUUGCUAAGACCGAUGUGAAAUCCCCGGGCUCAACCUGGGAACUGCAUUGGUGACUGGCAGGCUAGAGUAUGGCAGAGGGGGGUAGAAUUCCACGUGUAGCAGUGAAAUGCGUAGAGAUGUGGAGGAAUACCGAUGGCGAAGGCAGCCCCCUGGGCCAAUACUGACGCUCAUGCACGAAAGCGUGGGGAGCAAACAGGAUUAGAUACCCUGGUAGUCCACGCCCUAAAACGAUGUCAGCUAGUUGUUGGGGAUUCAUUUCCUUAGUAACGUAGCUAACGCGUGAAGUUGACCGCCUGGGGAGUACGGUCGCAAGAUUAAAACUCAAAUGAAUUGACGGGGUCAUAGCUG